GAAGGGUCAGGUUAGGGGUCUUUGGGCCCGCUGACAGGAAGGCUUGCCUUGUGCUUAGCUGUGAGGAACCCUAAUUAACAUUCCUCUCCCCUCCCAGGGCAUUUGCGGAGCCCCCUAUCUCACCCUCAGGGGUCAUGAGGGUGGAGGGAGUGGGGGCACUAGGCUUCUGUAGGCUGGCAGGAAUUGGGCUGAGAUUGGAUUUACCGCACUUGAUCUGGGGACAUUAAAAAAUAAGAAAGCAUGGGAAGAAGGAUGUGGCAGGGGGAGGCAUUAUCCUGAAAGGCAGUAGGAGAGAAAUUGCUACCAGGAUCUUGAGUAAAGUUCGCUCCUGCUUAGGAAAAGUACCCAAGUCACAAAAUGCGCCCCACCGCCCCACAGCCCCAGCUCCGUCCAGGACGCAGCACCUCCACUACAGCAGCCUUGCCUGCAGAUUAACUGUAGAUUAAAUUCAACCACGAAACAAACCAUGCAGGGAUUAAAGAAGAAUUCUUUAAGUGCCUGGCUCAUGCAUCCAAAAAAUAA
Molecule: long non-coding RNA, 522 nt
Filed under: Bos taurus (domestic cattle)
Lineage: Eukaryota; Metazoa; Chordata; Mammalia; Artiodactyla; Bovidae
Description: long non-coding RNA NONBTAT004295
Source: RNAcentral